GCGAAGUCAAGUCCGGAUCCGCGGGGAUUGCAGCUGGCCUAACGGCAUGUGCUCGUCCCUUGGGUCUGUGACCUUCACUACCACACCCCACUGUGAACCAAGCGGGAGGUCGAAAGGCCUCUUGCAUCUUAUAAAACCCCAAUUGCAUGUCUUGGAAUGUCAUAGCGUUAACUCGCAACUAUA
This 183-nucleotide unclassified non-coding RNA is filed under the name uncultured Basidiomycota. RNAcentral's name for it is "sequence contains ITS1". The record is from RNAcentral. Lineage: Eukaryota; Fungi; Basidiomycota.